Molecule: long non-coding RNA, 439 nt
Organism: Sciurus carolinensis (gray squirrel)
Lineage: Eukaryota; Metazoa; Chordata; Mammalia; Rodentia; Sciuridae
Exons: 2
Source: RefSeq, a predicted model, not a curated record
CUUGGAGUGACCUGGCAGCGUGAGUGAUUCUCCGGAGCAGCAAGAGGAAGUCAGUAUGGAGGCAGCACCCUGUCCCCACCACCCAGCUCUGUGAGGGGGCCUCGACCUCCGCUCUGCCUGCCUGGGGCUCUGUCCUGUCGCCGCCCAGUCUGGAGUCUUGAUUUCCCACCAGAGUGUGUGGAGGGGCCUUUUCUGCUGACCCACCCGGACCCACCUCACAGAUGGUCUGGCCCUCAGAGGUGGAGCUGGAUUCAGUUCCAGCUCAGUUCUUAUGGACACACGCUAAAAUUCUGGCUCGCUUCUAGUGUUGGACAACCUGGGCCUCAGCUUCUUCACUUGUAAAAUGAGGAGGUGAAAAUGUGUAAAUUUUCUUUCAGCCCUGAAUUCCAAGACCAUGUCGUGCUUCUCUUUUAAAUAAAGAAAAAACCCGUGCCUUCCA